RNAcentral lists this ribosomal RNA (431 nucleotides) under uncultured Thalassovita sp. RNAcentral describes it as "bacterial SSU rRNA". It matches the Rfam family "Bacterial small subunit ribosomal RNA", at positions 29 to 505 of the family's 1533-position model. Lineage: Bacteria; Pseudomonadati; Pseudomonadota; Alphaproteobacteria; Rhodobacterales; Roseobacteraceae. The record is from RNAcentral.
AACGAACGCUGGCGGCAGGCCUAACACAUGCAAGUCGAGCGCACUCUUCGGAGUGAGCGGCGGACGGGUUAGUAACGCGUGGGAAUAUACCCGGUACUAAGGAAUAGCCUCUGGAAACGGAGAGUAAUACCUUAUACGCCCUUCGGGGGAAAGAUUUAUCGGUAUCGGAUUAGCCCGCGUUAGAUUAGAUAGUUGGUGGGGUAACGGCCUACCAAGUCGACGAUCUAUAGCUGGUUUGAGAGGAUGAUCAGCAACACUGGGACUGAGACACGGCCCAGACUCCUACGGGAGGCAGCAGUGGGGAAUCUUGGACAAUGGGCGCAAGCCUGAUCCAGCCAUGCCGCGUGAGCGAUGAAGGCCUUAGGGUCGUAAAACUCUUUCGCCAGAGAUGAUAAUGACAGUAUCUGGUAAAGAAACCCCGGCUAACUCCG